GAACCUGUAGUUUAUAUUGAUAGGCCUAUAUCAAGCAGUGAACGCAUGGCUUAUUACAGUAUUGCAGAAUGUGUUGUUGUCACAGCUGUGAGGGACGGGAUGAACCUAACUCCUUAUGAGUAUAUUGCUUGUCGACAGGGCAUGUCUGGUUCAGAAGCUGAUUCAGAUGUGGAUGGACCUAAGAAGAGCAUGUUAGUUGUAUCUGAAUUCAUUGGGUGUUCACCUUCACUUAG
This 233-nucleotide unclassified non-coding RNA is filed under the name Hevea brasiliensis (rubber tree). Lineage: Eukaryota; Viridiplantae; Streptophyta; Magnoliopsida; Malpighiales; Euphorbiaceae. The record is from RNAcentral.